Oncorhynchus keta (chum salmon) is the source of this 336-nucleotide long non-coding RNA. RefSeq lists it as uncharacterized. The transcript has 3 exons. The record is from RefSeq and is a predicted model, not a curated record. Lineage: Eukaryota; Metazoa; Chordata; Actinopteri; Salmoniformes; Salmonidae.
GACACCAGUCUGGAGAGGUGUGGUCACUUGGAGACACCAGUCUGGAGAGGUGUGGUCACUUGGAGACACCGGUCUGGAGAGGUGUGGUCACUUGGAGACACCAGUCUGGAGAGGUGUGGUCACUUGGAGACACUGGUCUGGAGAGGUGUGGUCACUUGGAGACACCAGUCUGGAGAGGUGUGGUCACUUGGAGACACUGGUCUGGAGAGGUGUGGUCACUUGGAGACACCAGUCUGGAGAGGUGUGGUCACUUGGAGACACCGGUCUGGAGAGGUGUGGUCACUUGGAGACACCAGUCUGGAGAGGUGUGGUCACUUGGAGACACCAGUCUGGAGA